UACAGAGGGUGCGAGCGUUAAUCGGAAUUACUGGGCGUAAAGCGAGCGUAGUCGGUUGUUUAAGUUGGGGGUGAAAGCCCGGGGCUCAACCUCGGAAUUGCCUUCAAUACUGGCUGUCUUGAGUGUGAGAGAGGUGUGUGGAACUCCGAGUGUAGAGGUGAAAUUCGUAGAUAUUCGGAAGAACACCAGUGGCGAAGGCGACACACUGGCUCACUACUGACGCUGAGGCGCGAAAGCGUGGGGAGCAAACAGG
Molecule: ribosomal RNA, 253 nt
Filed under: uncultured bacterium
Lineage: Bacteria
Description: partial 16S ribosomal RNA
Rfam family: Bacterial small subunit ribosomal RNA
Source: RNAcentral